RNAcentral lists this ribosomal RNA (253 nucleotides) under uncultured bacterium. RNAcentral's name for it is "partial 16S ribosomal RNA". It matches the Rfam family "Bacterial small subunit ribosomal RNA", at positions 524 to 776 of the family's 1533-position model. The record is from RNAcentral.
UACGUAGGGUGCAAGCGUUGUCCGGAAUUAUUGGGCGUAAAGAGCUCGUAGGCGGUUCGUCGCGUCGGCUGUGAAAUCCCGGAGCUCAACUCCGGGUCUGCAGUCGAUACGGGCGGACUCGAGUUCGGCAGGGGAGACUGGAAUUCCUGGUGUAGCGGUGAAAUGCGCAGAUAUCAGGAGGAACACCGGUGGCGAAGGCGGGUCUCUGGGACGGUACUGACGCUGAGACGCGAAAGCGUGGGGAGCAAACAGG